This 253-nucleotide ribosomal RNA is filed under the name uncultured prokaryote. Its description in RNAcentral is "partial 16S ribosomal RNA". It matches the Rfam family "Bacterial small subunit ribosomal RNA", at positions 524 to 776 of the family's 1533-position model. The record is from RNAcentral.
UACGUAGGGACCAAGCGUUGUUCGGAUUUACUGGGCGUAAAGGGCGCGUAGGCGGCGUGACAAGUCACUUGUGAAAUCUCUGGGCUUAACCCAGAACGGCCAAGUGAAACUGUUGUGCUAGAGUGCAGAAGGGGCAAUCGGAAUUCUCGGUGUAGCGGUGAAAUGCGUAGAUAUCGUAAGGAAGACCAGUGGCGAAGGCGGGUCUCUGGACAGUUCCUGACGCUGAGGCACGAAGGUCAGGGGAGCAAACGGG